This is a long non-coding RNA of Thalassophryne amazonica, 126 nucleotides long. RefSeq lists it as uncharacterized. The record is from RefSeq and is a predicted model, not a curated record. NCBI's taxonomy places the organism in Eukaryota, Metazoa, Chordata, Actinopteri, Batrachoidiformes, Batrachoididae. The transcript is spliced from 3 exons.
UCUGGUGCCGGGCCUUUAGUAUGUUUGUGCCCUCUUGAGGAAAGAUCAUGAUAAAACUUUUCAGCCUCAGCUGUGUGACAUAAAAAGCUGAAAAUGCAGAUAAUAUCUGAUCUCAAUCAAUUGAAU